Molecule: ribosomal RNA, 424 nt
Filed under: Allobates femoralis (brilliant-thighed poison frog)
Lineage: Eukaryota; Metazoa; Chordata; Amphibia; Anura; Aromobatidae
Description: partial 16S ribosomal RNA
Rfam family: Bacterial large subunit ribosomal RNA
Source: RNAcentral
UUGUCCUUUAAAUAAGGACUAGUAUGAAUGGCUUCACGAAGGCUAUACUGUCUCCUUUAUCCAAUCAGUUAAACUAAUCUCCCCGUGAAGAAGCGGGGAUUCGUCUAUAAGACGAGAAGACCCUAUGGAGCUUUAAACAUCUAAGACAUCUGAUUUUACCCACACUAGACUUCAUAUAGCCCAUCAUUUUGUCUUAAGUUUUAGGUUGGGGUGACCACGGAGAAAAAUUUAACCUCCACGUAGAAAGAAAAUUCUUUUCUAAGCAAAAAGCCACAUCUUUACGCAUCAAAAUAUUGACCUAAAUUGACCCAAUUUCUUGCUCAACGAACCAAGUUACCCUAGGGAUAACAGCGCAAUCCGCUUUAAGAGCUCUUAUCGACAAGCGGGCUUACGACCUCGAUGUUGGAUCAGGGUAUCCUAAUGG